GAUGAAGAACGCAGCGAAAUGCGAUAAGUAGUGUGAAUUGCAGAAUUCAGUGAAUCAUCGAAUCUUUGAACGCACAUUGCGCCCUUUGGUAUUCCUUAGGGCAUGCCUGUUCGAGCGUCAUUUAAACCUUCAAGCUCAGCUUGGUGUUGGUUGACUGUCCGCUUCACCGCGGACUCGCCUCAAAAUUAUUGGCGGCCGGUACAUUGGCUCUCGAGCGCAGCAGAAACGCGUAACUCGAGGUCCUCGUGCUGGCUCCCAGAAGCUAUCUUCACAAUUUUGACCUCGGAUCAGGUAGGGAUACCCGCUGAACUUAAGCAUAUCAAUAAGCGGAGGA
RNAcentral lists this unclassified non-coding RNA (334 nucleotides) under soil metagenome. Its description in RNAcentral is "partial contains 5.8S ribosomal RNA, internal transcribed spacer 2, and large subunit ribosomal RNA". The stretch from base 1 to 120 matches the Rfam family "5.8S ribosomal RNA", at positions 35 to 154 of the family's 154-position model. The record is from RNAcentral.